Molecule: ribosomal RNA, 83 nt
Filed under: Morganella morganii
Lineage: Bacteria; Pseudomonadati; Pseudomonadota; Gammaproteobacteria; Enterobacterales; Morganellaceae
Description: partial 16S ribosomal RNA
Rfam family: Bacterial small subunit ribosomal RNA
Source: RNAcentral
UUUAAUUGAAGAGUUUGAUCAUGGCUCAGAUUGAACGCUGGCGGCAGGCCUAACGCAUGCAAGUCGGGCGGUAACAGGGGGAA